Molecule: long non-coding RNA, 390 nt
Organism: Alosa sapidissima (American shad)
Lineage: Eukaryota; Metazoa; Chordata; Actinopteri; Clupeiformes; Clupeidae
Exons: 3
Source: RefSeq, a predicted model, not a curated record
GUUGAGUACAAGCUACCCAGACAGAAGAGUCACAGUGACAACCCAUCUUAACUACUGUAGGUCAUAGGGAAGAUUUCUUUUGAAGGAUGCAGACGUUUUUUAUUGCAAGCAUCCUUUUCACAGCCUGUUGUGCUGUUCCUCGAGAUCUGUCAGGUAAAAUGUUUACGUUUCCUGUGGAGUCCAAUGUUGCUUGUGUCAGACUCCUGCCAUCAGGAAAUAACUUCAACUCUGUGUCUGCCUCAGGUUGGUCUUGGUGCUCUAUAUGCAUGAAUGACAGGAUUUGCAGUUUUCUUUUCUCUAUAUUUGUUCUAUAUUUCUUUAUUCUCUUAUCACCGUUGGUGGAAUGCACUACUAGUUCCUACCAGACCAGGAACAUCCCUCUCUACCUUC